Long non-coding RNA from Saccostrea cuccullata (small rock oyster), 825 nucleotides. RefSeq lists it as uncharacterized. The record is from RefSeq and is a predicted model, not a curated record. The transcript is spliced from 3 exons. Lineage: Eukaryota; Metazoa; Mollusca; Bivalvia; Ostreida; Ostreidae.
AAUACUACCAAGAUAGAACAUUUGGUAACAAGAAAACUUUUCUGGGUCCUGCAGUUCCUGACAAAGUAUAACUACGAUACAUAGUCCCCCACAUAAGUACUAACACAGGGGCAGUCUACUGGAUCCUAGGUCACUCUACUGGAUCCUCCCAGGUUAGGAGUACUAUUCCUCGGUUCCUGACUUAUUGUAAGUACAAUACAUAGUCCCCAAUAUAAGUACUAACACAGGAGCAGUGUACUGGAUCCGAGGUUUCUCUACUGGAUCCUCCCAGGUUGGGAGUACCGUUCCUUGGUUCCUGACUUAUUGUAAGUACAAUACAUAUCCCCAAUAUAAGUACUAACACAGGGUCAGUCUACUGGAUGCUGGGUCACUCUACUGGAUCCUCCCAGGUUAGGAGUACUAUUCCUUAGUUCCUGACUUAUUGUAAGUACAAUACAUAGUCCGCAAUAUAAGUACUGACACAGGGUCAGUCUACUGGAUCCUAGGUCACUCUACUGGAUCCUCCCGGGUUGGGAGUACUAUUCCUUGGUUCCUGACUUAAUGUAAGUACAAUACAUAGUUCCCAAUAUAAGUACUAACACAGGGCAGUCUACUGGAUCCUAGGUCACUCUACUGGAUCCUCCCAGGUUAGGAGUACUAUUCCUUAGUUCCUGACUUAUUGUAAGUACAAUACAUAGUCCCCAAUAUAAGUACUAACACAGGGUCAGUCUACUGGAUCUUAGGUCACUCUACUGGAUCCUCCAAGGUUGGGAGUUCUAUUCCUUGGUUCCUGACUUAUUGUAAGUACAAUACAUAGUUCCCAAUAUAAGUACUAACACAGGGCAG